AGAAAUGCAGAGGUCCGAAAAGGGGGCGGGGCUAAACGGCACUGUACACACAGUGCCAUGCCAGCCAGCAACAGCAUGGGGGAGAGGAGGGGAGAACAGUAGCACAGCCUAAACUGAGAAAACAUUUUACAAGACACAGACUGGAUAUGAGCUUGGAGACCCAUUAGCAUCAGGCACAUUCAGCUCCUGACCGAGAGAUACCUGCUCCUGUAUUUAUUUCUCAAGGCAUCUGGGAUCAGAAGAAGAUAUACAGAACCUGAGCCGCAUUGUGAAGCCGCCAGUGCAAGAUGUUAGGCGUUUCCUUUUCCAGCACAUUGAAAGAGAUCUAGAAUAUCUGAAGAACACUCUUGGAAAAAGUGCUGAUGACACCACAACUGUUGUACAUCUUGUAUUUUGUCAAAUGCUGACUCUACAACAGUCCGAAGACUAUCUCUUAACGACCCUUCUCACCUGGGGUAGCCAGAAUUUGAUUGUCGGCGGGGACUUUAAUUAGGUGGUCGACCCAUCCAUGGACAGA
Molecule: long non-coding RNA, 517 nt
Organism: Pseudophryne corroboree (corroboree frog)
Lineage: Eukaryota; Metazoa; Chordata; Amphibia; Anura; Myobatrachidae
Exons: 4
Source: RefSeq, a predicted model, not a curated record